UGACCAACCAUUCCUAUCCCUACUUCCUCGUGGUACUGGCCGGGGUACGAGCUUUGGUCGUAUGCUGCCAGGAAAGG
This 77-nucleotide ribozyme is filed under the name Aedes aegypti (yellow fever mosquito). RNAcentral's name for it is "drz-agam-1 ribozyme". It matches the Rfam family "drz-agam-1 ribozyme". The record is from Rfam by way of RNAcentral. Lineage: Eukaryota; Metazoa; Arthropoda; Insecta; Diptera; Culicidae.